UGACAGAAGAGGGUGAGCAC
This 20-nucleotide microRNA is filed under the name Medicago truncatula (barrel medic). RNAcentral's name for it is "mtr-miR156j". Its record names the gene mtr-miR156j. The record is from miRBase by way of RNAcentral. Lineage: Eukaryota; Viridiplantae; Streptophyta; Magnoliopsida; Fabales; Fabaceae.